Molecule: non-coding RNA, 1425 nt
Organism: Manis javanica (Malayan pangolin)
Lineage: Eukaryota; Metazoa; Chordata; Mammalia; Pholidota; Manidae
Source: RefSeq, a predicted model, not a curated record
CAUACGUUUUCCAACUACUGGGAAAAUAUGGUAAAUCACCCUAAUUAAGCCAAACUCUCCUGAAGGCAGCUGUCAGCGAUUCCAGGAGUGUCUGAUUCCGAGGCAUGACGGGCACUUUUCAACCUCUGCCGGAGGGGAGGCUAGGCGGGCCUUUGAAACAGCAGAAGACGGAUGCCUUUUUGUUCUGCUGAUGGUGUCCUUUGCUGCCAAAUUACAGACUUUUGAACUGAUAAAAUCCUGAAUCUUUUACUAGCUAAACAGAUCAUAAGGUAGGUGUUGCUAACAUCUGUAUUUGGUAAAACAUAACAAAGGCUGAAAAUUCUACAUACAUGAAACUUGCAACUGUCAGAGGGUUUGAUUUCAGGCAGAAAAACCACUACUGACUAAAUUACCCAAUGAAAUAAAGCUGGGUAGUUUACCACUGUCCCUGAUAAAAGAAGCCUCUUGCCUGGUACCCUGAAGACUGUUGAAUUUGCAAUCCAAAUAAACUGAGAUUGUUACCUGGGGAUAAACAUUUUGCCUGUGGCCUUGAAACUAGCGAACUGAAGUUCAGCAAUAUUAAUCGAGUUUAACUCCAAACUAACUUUUAUAGAUGUUCUCAUUUCUCCCUAACUGUAAAAUGCUUCAGAUCAGCUUCUACAAAGUCUGAAUAGCACAAAACAAAGAAAACUGGGCCUAAUUUUUGUACCAGAGCACAACUGAGAAUAACUAAAAAUAAAGCAGAACCUGCUUAAAAUGAGACAAGCACAAAAAUCCUAUAUUCAAUCCAAGGGCUUGCAUCUCACUCACAUCCAAAGCCAAAUUCCUUAAAGUGGCUGACAAGGCCCUUCUUGAUCAAGCUUCCACUUAUUUCUCUGCCCUUAGCUUCUUUUGAGGUCACUUUUCCAUUUAGCCACCCUGGCACCUCAGCUCUUUCCCUCUUCUUUCACAACUUGCUUCCUCAUUUUUCAAGUCUUUGCUGAAAUAGUACCUUCUGAGUGCCAUCUUCACUGGUUUGGAAAGACUGAAGAGACAACCUGGAAACAGCAAUCCAGACAGAAGUUCUCCUGGGGGAAGUCACAUGCAGGAAAUCCAGAAGCAGCUGGGGUCUACAGUCAGCAAGCUGUUAUUUUGUAGCAACUCACCUAAACUAUCCAGGGCCCCUCCCCUCCCGGCAGGACCAGUGUUCCAAGAUCAAGGUCUGCUAUCUGGACAUUUUUCAUCACCAAGGAGAUGCUCCAGGCUGGCCACCCCUGGAAUCUCUGACCUUGACACUCACAGCAUGUUUUGUUAUAUCUUUUGUUUGGUGGGAAUACAGGACGAUGGGAACUACACAAUUUCAAGAUAAUAAAAGACUGCGGCAGUCAGGGUGUGCUUGUAUAAACCAGUUUUCCAGCACUACUUUACAUGCACACAUUGUAAACUCUCAACAAAUAUAUGUAGAGU